Molecule: ribosomal RNA, 490 nt
Filed under: uncultured bacterium
Lineage: Bacteria
Description: partial 16S ribosomal RNA
Rfam family: Bacterial small subunit ribosomal RNA
Source: RNAcentral
GAUGAACGCUAGCUACAGGCUUAACACAUGCAAGUCGAGGGGCAGCAUGGUCUUAGCUUGCUAAGGCCGAUGGCGACCGGCGCACGGGUGAGUAACACGUAUCCAACCUGCCGUCUACUCUUGGACAGCCUUCUGAAAGGAAGAUUAAUACAAGAUGGCAUCAUGAGUCCGCAUGUUCACAUGAUUCAAGGUAUUCCGGUAGACGAUGGGGAUGCGUUCCAUUAGAUAGUAGGCGGGGUAACGGCCCACCUAGUCUUCGAUGGAUAGGGGUUCUGAGAGGAAGGUCCCCCACAUUGGAACUGAGACACGGUCCAAACUCCUACGGGAGGCAGCAGUGAGGAAUAUUGAUCAAUGGGCGAGAGCCUGAACCAGCCAAGUAGCGUGAAGGAUGACUGCCCUAUGGGUUGUAAACUUCUUUUAUAAAGGAAUAAAGUCGGGUAUGGAUACCCGUUUGCGUGUACUUUAUGAAUAAGGAUCGGCUAACUCCGUG